GACGAACGCUGGCGGUGUGCUUAACACAUGCAAGUCGAACGGUAAGGCCCUUUCGGGGGUACACGAGUGGCGAACGGGGGAGUAACACGUGAGUAACCUGCCCUCAUCUCUGGGAUAACAGUCGGAAACGGUUGCUAAUACUGGAUAUGAGCUUGCAAGGCAUCUUGUGGGUUGGAAAGAUUUUUUUGGUUGGGGAUGGACUCGCGGCCUAUCAGCUUGUUGGUGAGGUAGUGGCUCACCAAGGCUUCGACGGGUAGCCGGCCUGAGAGGGCGACCGGCCACAGUGGGACUGAGAUACGGCCCAAACUCCGACGGGAGGCAGCAGGGGGGAAUAUUGCACAAUGGACGGAAGUCUGAUGCAGCAACGCCGCGUGCGGGAUGACGGCCUUCGGGUUGUAAACCGCGUUCAAUUGUGACGAAGCUUUUUGUGACGGUAGCAGUAGAAGAAGCACCGGCUAACUACGUG
RNAcentral lists this ribosomal RNA (466 nucleotides) under uncultured bacterium. RNAcentral describes it as "partial 16S ribosomal RNA". It matches the Rfam family "Bacterial small subunit ribosomal RNA", at positions 28 to 507 of the family's 1533-position model. The record is from RNAcentral.